RNAcentral lists this long non-coding RNA (4472 nucleotides) under Sus scrofa (pig). Its description in RNAcentral is "lncRNA (ENSSSCG00030001427.1)". The record is from RNAcentral. Lineage: Eukaryota; Metazoa; Chordata; Mammalia; Artiodactyla; Suidae.
AGUACCUCUGAAGCACCAAGGGGAGAUGGAGGGGAGUGUAGGAGGAAAGAACGUGGUGCAGGUCUUAGGUCUGUGAAAAGACGGGCGGGAGGAAGGGGCUUUGAGUAGGAUGAGACUCGUACUGCAGUGCAGCUCUGAGAAAGCACUGCUAGGUUGAUGCGUGGUCUCAGAACAGAGGUUGCUCAGUAGAAGAGUCACAUGUUAGACGGGGGUGGUCUGGUCUAGGAGCUGUGCACCUGCUCCGUCAUCGGUUGGGAGGAGCAGGAUCUUGAUGUCUGCACUGUGGCAGAUCACAAAAGUGCGGCAGAUGGAGUGGUCGGCUAGCUACUCUCCUCAUAGCAGAAUCUGUCUUGAAGAAAUAUCUGGGCACCACAUGCCUCUGGCCACCACAUCUCUACUCUAAAAACCCUCACUUGAGUGCCAGCCUCAUGCAGAAGAAAGUAUUAGUUGCUGUCUGGGUCAGUUCGGGCUGCUGUCCCAUAGAUUCAUAAACAGCAGAAGUUUAUUCCUUACAGUUCUGGCUGUUGGAAAUUCAAGAUCAGGGGACCAGCAUUGUCCAGUUCUGGUGAAGGUCCUUUUCUGGAGUGGAGACGGCUGAUUUCUUGUUGAACUUGCACAUGGCCAAAAGACGGCAAGCUAGCUCUCUGGCUUCCUAAAUAUGCACCGAUCUGGAGUUCCUGUUGUGGCUCGGCAGGUUAAGAACCCAACAUUGUGUCUAUGAGGAUGCAGCUUCCAUCCCUGGCCUCCCUCAGUGGGUUAGGAUCUGGCAUUGCUGUAAGCUGUGGCAUAGGUCACAGAUGCGGUUCAGAUCCAUUGCUGCUGCCAAUGUGCUGUAGGCUGGCAGCUGCAGCUUCAAUUGGACCCCUAGCUCAGGAACUUCCAUAUGUCGAGGGUGCGGCUGUUUAAAAAAAAAAAAAAAAGUGCUGAUCCCUUCAUGAGGCUCUACCCUGAUGACCUGAUUACCUCCAAGUUUCCACCGCCAAAUAUCAUCACAUUGGAGAUGAGACUUCGACAUGUGAAUUUUGGGGUCCCACAAUUGUUCAGUCCGUAACAGGUACUCUUUAUUCAGUGGUUGUGCAAGAAAAGAAGACAUUACCUUUUCUUAAAGAACAUACAGUGUCAUUUAGGAGAAUGACCUGGAGUACUAGAUUACUUUUCCAUAAAAUCUUUCAUUGACUCCUCAUUUAAUUCAUACCAAAAAUAGAACCUCACCAGACAUUGCCCAAAUCCUAAUAGUAGCCACUCAAAAAUAUGUUGUGAGAGUGCUCUCUUGCCCCUUCCCUGGUGCCAACUCCCUCUGCUCCUUGGAGUCUGGGUCUUUCUGUCUUCUCCUGCCUGCCUUCCACUCAUUUGCCAUCUAGCAGGCACAGUAUGUGCUUUCAAAAACAUAUUCCGGUCCUCUCAUUUCUUCUUAAAACAUUCCGAUGGUCUCGGAUUGCUCUGGGUGCUAUCUAAGCUCUUUCUGAGGCUUGCAAGCCCCUGCAGGAUCCGGUGGGCGCCCAGCUCAUCCUGCACUGCUCUCCCUGACCAUGCAGGCAGCCUCUUCUUCCUCCCCGAUCCUCAGGCUGGACCAUCCCUUCUGCCUCCAGAGCUUGGCACUUGUAUCCCUUCUGUCUGGAAUGUCCUUUCCUGGUUCUUCUCACUAUUGUCUCCUCCGUCUUUAUAUUUUAAAUAUCAUACAAGCUGCAUCCACUUGAUUUGGGCUGCUCCUAACCUGAAGCAGAGCCAGGUCUUGACUUUCGUGAUUGGCUCGGGAGGCUUCUACCAUGUAUGGUUAGGUGUCCAUCAACAGCCACCUGAACCAAACAGAGCUGUUUUUUUUGCUUUGGGGGAAGGCUGAGACAACAGUAGCAAGAUUAAAGAAACACUUCCAUCUUGGGUCUAUUUGUCAACAGGUUAGUCAAAUAUCCCCUUUGUAAAUGCAAAUUAAUCGUGCAAACUGGUAGUGUUAAAUAGGAAGACUUGUCUGUUUGGAGGAAUGCCUGAAUAAAAUGGAUCAUUUAUAGUGUGAUUGUAUGUUUGAUUUUUUUUAGUUAUAGCUAAAUGUGUAUCCAGACGGCCACUGUAGAGUCUGAGAUACAGUAGAUUCUCAGUAAGUUAUCCUGAGUUAACGUAAAUGGGUCUCUAUGUAGAUAAUGCUGUUGUAAUCUUAUGGUACCCUGCCUGUCGCAAAGAGUGGGUAAAGCUUAUUUGCAUGUCCUGUUUUAAAGAUCUAGAACUUGUGAAUAUUUGAGGAUGGCCUGGAUGGUGGUAAAUGAAGUAAUAGACUUCAUACUGUCAUCACUCCCUGCUUCAUUCAUUCUCUCCUGAUUCUAAAUUAAUAUUCUUACAAAAAAAUGAGGAAGAUUGAAAGAAACAUAGGUCCGAAGAGAGAAAAACAGGUGGAUCUCUGUUAAGCUCGUUGCUCUUUUUCCUGCGGAUUUGUCAUUCGAUGAAAAGGAAUAUAUAGAAAGAAAAUUUAUCCCGUGUCAUUUGUCUUAUUUCAUAAUGUGCAGAGUAGUAAGUAGAUUAGCAACUAUUAAGACUUGUGGUUGCCGAGGAGGAGGGAGUGAGAUGAAUUCGGCACUUGGGGUUAGUAGAUGCAGACUAUCGCCUUUGGAAUGGAUGAGCAAUGAGAUUCUGCUGUGUAGCCCUGGGAACUAUAUCUAGUCACUUAUGAUGGAGCAUGAUGGAGGAUAAUGUGAGAAAAAGAAUGUAUGUAUAGCUAUGUGUGACUGGGUCACCUUGCUGUACAGUAGAACAUUGAUAGAACUGUAAACCAGCUAUAAUGGAGAAAAUAAAAAUUAUUUAAAAAUGCUAUGCUCAUUUUUUAUGCCUAAUGUUGGCACACUUCUUUUUUUCCUCACAGUGCCAGAUAGGAAAUAUUCUAGGCUUUGCUGACUACAUGGUUCUGUCCCAUCUUCUCCUUUUCAUCCCCUCUCCUCCUCCUCUUCCUUCUCCUCCCCUUCUUUCUUCUUCUCCUAUUAUAGCUCUUUAAAAUGUAAAAAACGUUAUUAGCUCCUGGCAGGGCUGUGAUAAGGGGCCAGAUUGGGCCUGCAUCUGUACGUUAUGCUAUAACCCAACCCAAUUCAGAACAGCGCAGACCAGGCAGGAGCUCUCACCUGAGACUGGUGCAAUACGAGGGAAAUGUUAAACUCUAAAACUGUGGGGGAUUUGUCCUUCUGAUUAUAUCCAAGGAGAAAUUAAAAUGUGCGUUUGCAUGGGAGCAGAAAGAAUAAGACCAGAAAUAUGCAGCAGUUCAGAUAGACAAGUAUUUCCUAGUUUCUUGUUCCGUCUGGGAUUUAGAAACUGAUGGAACUUCUAAUUUAUGGUCAGAAUUUCAAAGUUUUGAGCUAGAUUACAAGUGUGAGAAAAACAUGGCUUUUGCACAUUAUCAUGGGAAAGAAGGACACGGGUUGUCUCCCAGAGUAUCUGCGGAAUGUGAUUGGUGGAUGUCCUUUUUUAUGCUAGUCCGCGUUCAGUCAAGUCUGUGCAUGCAGGUUGCGUAAGUACCAGUGUUCAGAAGGGCUGCUGCCAGUGGUGUGCCCUCCAAAGAGAAAAAGCAAAGUGUUUACUGAUUUUCACGGUGUAAAUUCUCCCACUGUCACCCAUUGUAAGCUGCCAGUAGCUUACUAUUCAUCUGACCAAAUUCAUGAACAUUUAAUAAUUAACUUUUCAGGCUGAUGGAAACUGACUCCAGCAGAACACUGGUUGUUGCCCAGCUGAGAAAGUGUUUUCUGUGUCUUAGAAUACUUCCCUGAAAGGUAUCUAGUCCUUACUCUAUAAGAUUGGCUUGCUUUUAAGCAAUAGUUUUAAGGGAACAAUGGAGAAAAUUCGGAGCAUCGUUAAAAUACCUUUUAUUUUUUCGACGUGGGGAAGUUCCCACGCCAGGGACUGAACCCGGAGCACAUCUGUGACCUGUGCUACAGCCGAGACCGUGCCGGGUCUUUAACCUGUUGCGCCACUGGGGAACUUCCAAAAACACCUUUUUUUUGGUCAAAGAUUGGCAAACUAGAGGCUUGUGGAUCAAAUCUGGCCCAUGGUCUAUUUUUGUGUAGCCCGUCAGCUUAGAAUGACUUUUGCAUUUUUAAAGGGUUCUUCAAAAAAAACAAAAGAAAAAGAAGAGGGUGACGGGAAAGGAAGAGACCACACAAGAGAGACCGCCACGCUGUCUGGCUCUUUACAGGAAAAGUAGACUGACCCUGAAUUGAAAAAAUGCAGUGUAGGAGUUCCUGUUGUGGCUCAGUGGUGACGAACCCAGCUAGUAUCCAUGAGGAUGCAGGUUUGAUCCCUGGCCUCGCUCAGUGGGUUAAGGAUCUGGCAUUGCUGUGGGCUGUGGUGUAGAUUGCAGAUGUGGCUCAGAUCCCGCCCUGAGUUGCUGUGGCUGUGGUGCAGGCCGGCAGCUACAGUGGCAAUCAACCUCUAGCCUGGGAACUUCUACAAGCUGCAGAUUCGGCCCUCAAAAGCAAAAGCAAAAAAAAAAAAAAAAAAAA